CUUGACUUCAUGGGCAACCCUGGGAGCACAGCUUCACUGGCUUUUUCUCUGGUCCCUGAGCAUAUCCUUUGGGAGAUCUGACCUGAGUCCUUCAUGCCACGAGAGGAACCAUUUCUCUCCAGUCUGUCAGGAAGAGGGGUGGCAAGCCUUCCUAUCCUGUGACGGACACAGAAGUCUAUUUAUAGUGCAGGGGGAAAUGCAGGCAGUGGGUGCAGCAGGGCAGUGGUGACCAUGCACUCUCUACCCAGAUUGCCAUGCAAUCACUGUGGAAUAUCAAGGUGGCAGUACUGGUCAAGCCAGAGCACGAGAACCGUAUCAGCCACGUCAGUACGUCCAGUGUGAAGACUGGCAUCGCCAACACCCUGGGGAACAAGGGGGCUGUGGGCGUCUCCUUCAUGUUCAAUGGCACCUCAUUUGGCUUUGUGAAUUGUCACCUCACCUCGGGAAAUGAGAAGACGGCUCGGUGAGGGGCACCUUUCCUAUGGUCUCUUUACACCCAUCCCAUUCACCUGAGGCAUGUUCCUGCUCCCAUAUCCCAGCCCAUGA
Molecule: small RNA, 546 nt
Filed under: Pongo abelii (Sumatran orangutan)
Lineage: Eukaryota; Metazoa; Chordata; Mammalia; Primates; Hominidae
Description: retained intron
Source: RNAcentral